RNAcentral lists this ribosomal RNA (641 nucleotides) under uncultured archaeon. Its description in RNAcentral is "bacterial SSU rRNA". It matches the Rfam family "Archaeal small subunit ribosomal RNA", at positions 52 to 699 of the family's 1478-position model. The record is from RNAcentral.
UGCGAGUCGAGAGGGUUCGGCCCUCGGCUGACGGCUCAGUAACACGUGGAUAAUCUGCCCUUAGGUGGAGGAUAAUCUCGGGAAACUGAGGAUAAUACUCCAUAGAUCUAGGAUGCUGGAAUGCAUCUAGAUUGAAAGCUCCGGCGCCUAAGGAUGAGUCUGCGGACUAUCAGGUUGUAGUCAGGGUAAAGACCUGACUAGCCUACGACGGAUACGGGUUGUGAGAGCAAUAACCCGGAGACGAUAUCUGAGACACGAUAUCGGGCCCUACGGGGCGCAGCAGGCGCGAAAACUUCACACUGUGCGAAAGCGCGAUGAGGGAAUCCCAAGUGUUUGCUCGUAAGAGUAAACUGUUUCUUUGUUUAAAACGCAGAGAGAGUAAGGGCUGGGUAAGACGGGUGCCAGCCGCCGCGGUAAUACCUGCAGCUCGAGUGGUGAUCAUUAUUAUUGGGCCUAAAACGUCCGUAGCCGGUUUAGUAAAUGCCUGGGUAAAUCGUGUAGCUUAACUAUACGACUUCCGGGUAGACUGCUAAACUUGAGACCGGGAGAGGCUAGAGGUACUCCUGGGGUAGAGGUGAAAUUCUGUAAUCCUAGGGGGACCACCAGUGGCGAAGGCGUCUAGCUAGAACGGUCUGACGGUG